CUUACACAAGUACUUCAGUAUUUUGCUCAAGCUGUUCAGAGCCUCCAGACCUCCCAGGCACAUGGAAGUUCUGUCAUUCCUUCUGAGUCUGCCCUUCCUUGUUUUGCCUCUGGGCUUCAAGUCUCUGGAGAGAAGUCUGGUCAAGAUAACUUCCGUAUAGCUCUUUUUCAUUUGUGCUUCUUAGGAUCAUCUCUCAAGCAAGUACCUAUUCCCAUGUUCUUGUUCCCAG
Long non-coding RNA from Lynx canadensis (Canada lynx), 229 nucleotides. RefSeq lists it as uncharacterized. The transcript has 3 exons. The record is from RefSeq and is a predicted model, not a curated record. NCBI's taxonomy places the organism in Eukaryota, Metazoa, Chordata, Mammalia, Carnivora, Felidae.